RNAcentral lists this transfer RNA (92 nucleotides) under Bacillota bacterium. RNAcentral's name for it is "tRNA-Ser". It matches the Rfam family "tRNA". From Rfam's summary of the family: Transfer RNA (tRNA) molecules are approximately 80 nucleotides in length. The record is from RNAcentral. Lineage: Bacteria; Bacillati; Bacillota.
GGAGGAUUACCCAAGUGGUUGAAGGGGUCGGUCUUGAAAACCGAUAGUGGGUCAACGGCCCAGCUAGAGUUCGAAUCUCUAAUCCUCCGCCA